This 468-nucleotide ribosomal RNA is filed under the name uncultured bacterium. RNAcentral describes it as "partial 16S ribosomal RNA". It matches the Rfam family "Bacterial small subunit ribosomal RNA", at positions 28 to 507 of the family's 1533-position model. The record is from RNAcentral.
GACGAACGCUGGCGGCGUGCUUAACACAUGCAAGUCGAACGGAAAGGCCCUGCUUUUGUGGGGUGCUCGAGUGGCGAACGGGUGAGUAACACGUGAGUAACCUGCCCUUGACUUUGGGAUAACUUCAGGAAACUGGGGCUAAUACCGGAUAGGAGCUCCUGCUGCAUGGUGGGGGUUGGAAAGUUUCGGCGGUUGGGGAUGGACUCGCGGCUUAUCAGCUUGUUGGUGGGGUAGUGGCUUACCAAGGCUUUGACGGGUAGCCGGCCUGAGAGGGUGACCGGCCACAUUGGGACUGAGAUACGGCCCAGACUCGUACGGGAGGCAGCAGUGGGGAAUAUUGCACAAUGGGAGGAAGCCUGAUGCAGAAACGCAGCGUGCGGGAUGACGGCCUUCGGGUUGUAAACCGCUUUCGCCUGUGACGAAGCGUGAGUGACGGUAAUGGGUAAAGAAGCACCGGCUAACUACGUG